RNAcentral lists this ribosomal RNA (1249 nucleotides) under Aphanomyces iridis. RNAcentral's name for it is "eukaryotic LSU rRNA". It matches the Rfam family "Eukaryotic large subunit ribosomal RNA", at positions 26 to 1155 of the family's 3401-position model. Lineage: Eukaryota; Oomycota; Saprolegniomycetes; Saprolegniales; Verrucalvaceae. The record is from RNAcentral.
CGCUGAAUUUAAGCAUAUAAUUAAGCGGAGGAAAAGAAACUAACAAGGAUUCCCUUAGUAACGGCGAGUGAAGCGGGAAGAGCUCAAGCUUAAAAUCUCCACGCAAGUGGCGAAUUGUAGUCUAUAGAGGCUGUUGUCAGCAUAGCGACCUGGGACAAGUCCCUUGGAAGAGGGCAGCAUGGAGGGUGAUACUCCCGUCUCUGCUCAGGUUGUCUGUGUGUACGAUACGCUUUCUUUGAGUCGAGUUGUUUGGGAAUACAGCUCAAAGCAGGUGGUAAAUUCCAUCUAAAGCUAAAUAUUGGUGCGAGACCGAUAGCGAACAAGUACCGUGAGGGAAAGAUGAAAAGAACUUUGAAAAGAGAGUUAAAGAGUACCUGAAACUGUUGAAAGGGAACCGUAUCGUUUCUAGUGUGUAUCCUAUGCAUAUUUCAUUGGCGGUUGUAAAAGAUUGCUGGUGCCCUGUGUAUGGGUGUGACGUCAGGGUCAGUUUGAAUUGCGGGAGAUGGGCAGUGAGGAGGUGCGUCACUUUUAGUGAAAGUUACAGCUCGCUGUCUAGUAGCCGUGGUUUAGACUGAGGUGCCUACAACAUGCUUUGAGAUGUAUUGUUUUGUCGUGUUGUACGUUGUUUGGAUAGCUUGCUAUGCUGAUGAUUUAUGAUGCGAGAGAGUGAUAUGAAUUUCUGCUGUUCGGGACUCUGGCGAAAUGGAGCGAUACGACCCGUCUUGAAACACGGACCAAGGAGUCUAACAUGUGUGCAAGUAUUAGGGUGUGGAAACCCCAAUGCGUAAUGAAAGUAAAGGGCACUUUUGUGUCUUUGGUAGGAAGGAGCUGUAAUGGUUCUGGCACUAUCGACCGAUCAUGAACCUCCGGGUGAAAGAUUUGAGUAUGAGCAUAUAUGUUGGUACCCGAAAGAUGGUGAACUAUGCCUGAAUAGGGUGAAGCCAGGGGAAACUCUGGUGGAAGCUCGUAGCGAUUCUGACGUGCAAAUCGAUCGUCAAAUUUAGGUAUAGGGGCGAAAGACUAAUCGAACCAUCUAGUAGCUGGUUCCCUCCGAAAUUUCCCUCAGGAUAGCAGCAACUUUUUACGAUAGUUUUAUGAGGUAAAGCGAAUGAUUAGAGGCCUCGGGGAAGAAACUUCCUCGACCUAUUCUCAAACUUUAAAUGGGUAAGACCUGUGGGUUUCUUAAUUGAACCUGUGGACGUGAAUAUCCAAGUUGCUAGUGGGCCAUACCGGGUAAGCUGGUCUGGCG